This 1147-nucleotide long non-coding RNA is filed under the name Mus spicilegus (steppe mouse). RNAcentral's name for it is "lncRNA (ENSMSIG00000030285.1)". The record is from RNAcentral. Lineage: Eukaryota; Metazoa; Chordata; Mammalia; Rodentia; Muridae.
CAUUUACUAACCUAUAACUCUUCUUUAUGUAGACCAGCUGGCUUUGAACUCAGGGAGAUCUGCCUCCUUUGGCCUCUGGAGUGCUGGCGUCUUAAAGUCUCCACUCUCUCCUAGCACAGUCAAUCUGAGGACCAAACCUCAACCCAUGGGCCUUGGGGGGCAUUCCAGAUUGAAUUCUUGCAGUAGGCUUUUGUCAUUUGUUCGUUUGGUGGUUUGUUUGUUUUGGGUUUGUUUCUGUGGUUCCCCAAGAAGCUUGGGAUGGGAAAUGGUCUAAGCAAGUCUUGCUGCAAAGUGAGCCUCUUACAGAAGGAAACAGCAUCUACUCUCCUUGCUGCCAUUGUGUAUCAGCUGUCAUCAGGCUUCUACUGAAAUGCGUCAGCAAGGAACAGUUCUACCGUGGUCACAGUCAAGCCUGGUUGCUAUGGAGCUAUCUGAUGGACAGCUGGAGAGAGGCGUCAUCUGCCAGGAUUCUAGAAUCACCACAGCAGGGAUGUACUGAUGUUCAGAACCAACAGGAGAGUGUGGACAUCAAAGGUCAUCUUCAUCUUCCGCCAGUUUUUGGAAGGAGGCCGGGAAGUUGUGAUGAAGUUGCUAUGAAGACUGUUGUUAAUCUGAGGAAGAUGGCUGCGUGGCUAGAAUGAAGCCCUUUGAGAUCCUGCAACUCACAUUACUUCAACAGCUAUGGACUUAGUCUUCCCGAGGAACUUGCUCUUAUCACCCGUGUCUGAACCUGCCCCGAUGUUAUUGUCUGCUAGAGAGAACCUUGGAACUUUCCAUCACACCCCUCUAAUCCACCAGAUAGUGACCAUAGUCCCCAGAGGGUGAUUAGAGUCUUUGCUGUCCAGAAGUGUCCCUUAGAUGUCUUUUCAAAGCUCCGAUGAGCAGCUGACAGGUGGAACAAUAGAAUCAGGAUUUGGAGGGUGGGUCCCAAGUUCAGGGGUGCUCAAAACUCCCUCCUGACUCUGAUUGACACUGCCAAGGAUGAAGGCUGGCCUGGGGUUAUGAGUGUAUCCUGACUACUACUUGCACUUGACUUUGUGCUGCUGGUCAGUUUCUUCCCCCCCCCCCCCCGCAUCCUCCACCUCAGUUUCUUCAUAUGUGAAAUGGGAACAGGAGUGCUACUACCGUACAGUGUGAGAAAUAGGUG